CUUAGCUACCAGGUCAUCGGGUGCAUUAGCAGGGUCUAUAUAUACAUACUGCAGCCUAACUAGCUAGUUCUUCUUUCCCCUGUCUGAACCAAGGCUUGCAAAUGCCGGAUCCAGUUACUGCCAGUGCUGCUGUAGGAUGGGGCGUAUCCGCAGCAGGCUGGCUCAUCUCGCCUAUCAUUUCAAGGGUACUCAACAAAGGUUUCGCCCACCUCGACUUCGAUGCAGCGGAGAAGCUGAAGAUGCUUGAUGUACAAGUUCUACAACUGCAGCGCCUGAUGGAAGUAGCCGACGAGAGCACUUACAAGGUUCGGUUGGAGCCACUGUUAGACGAGUGUGGUUUUCUGUAGCUCAGGCUACACGGUACCCCUUAUCUUUGCCAUCCAUUUAUGCAUCAAGAUCCGUGCAGACACAUUUGUCUUUUUUGUUUCUCUCAAACGACACAACAUAUGAACUUUAACUUUUGCAGAACAACAAUACAUUCUAACUACAAUCUAGGAAAAAAACUUUCAGAUUUUUUCAUGCAUUUUAAAUACUUGAAAUAAUAUUUUUAUUCAAAGAAAAUCUCAUUUCGUAUAUUUAUAUCAGACCAAAAAAUCUGAAAGUUUUUUCACACAUUGAUGUUCUAAUGUUUGUUCGAUCUGCAAAGUUUGAAGUUCAUAUGUUGUUUCGUUUUCGAGAAACAAAAAAGAGAAAUCUUCUUGUUGUUAGUUAGUUGGAGAGUACGGAUCUCAAAGCAAGGUUGGAGGGUUGAGGAUAAGAGGUUCCAUGUAGCCUGAGCUACAAAGAAACUUUGUGCUGUUAGAUAAGCUUAAAUCUGCUCUCUACGAAGGCAAAGAUAUCUUGGAUGAUAUUGAGUAUCAGCGUCUCAAGAAGCAGGUCCAAGAUGGCAAGUCAGAUGGCAGUACGAUGGAUUCGCUGAAGAAGAAUCUACGGUCUGCAAUGCCGAGCUGCCUCCUAAAAGAUAAGAAGAGUGGCAAGACAAAAGUGGAAUUGAAGAAGAGCCUAGAGAGUAUAGAAAGUGCUAUAAGUGAUGCAUGUAACCUUUUGAAACAACUGAAGUUGACAGCUCUAAGUAGUGAUAAUGGGAGACCAGUUGUUGCUGCCAAUUCACAUCAUGCAGUCACUACUGGAGGUCCUCCGCCACGAGUAAUUGGCACUAGUAGAAAAAGGGUCAUACGUGAAGCCCAAUAGUGCCGGUUUGUAUUAGAGCCGGCACUAAUGUGUACAAUAGCACCGGUUCGUGGCGGCGAUCAAUAGCACCGGUUCGUGGCGAACCUUUAGUACCGGUUCAUAUGCCACGAACCGGUACUAAAGUGGAUGUGUCAGCCUGCGGUCAGGCUAUGGUCCCACCAUCACCAUUUAGUGCCGGUUCGUGGUACGAACCGGUACUAAUGAGGUUAUAGCAAGCUGUUUUUAGUCCCACCUCGCUCCACUAACAAG
RNAcentral lists this ribosomal RNA (1440 nucleotides) under Triticum aestivum (bread wheat). RNAcentral's name for it is "partial small subunit ribosomal RNA". The record is from RNAcentral. Lineage: Eukaryota; Viridiplantae; Streptophyta; Magnoliopsida; Poales; Poaceae.